Molecule: ribosomal RNA, 464 nt
Filed under: uncultured Klebsiella sp.
Lineage: Bacteria; Pseudomonadati; Pseudomonadota; Gammaproteobacteria; Enterobacterales; Enterobacteriaceae
Description: bacterial SSU rRNA
Rfam family: Bacterial small subunit ribosomal RNA
Source: RNAcentral
CCUACGGGGGGCUGCAGUGGGGAAUAUUGCACAAUGGGCGCAAGCCUGAUGCAGCCAUGCCGCGUGUGUGAAGAAGGCCUUCGGGUUGUAAAGCGCUUUCAGCGGGGAGGAAGGCGUUAAGGUUAAUAACCUUGGCGAUUGACGUUACCCGCAGAAGAAGCACCGGCUAACUCCGUGCCAGCAGCCGCGGUAAUACGGAGGGUGCAAGCGUUAAUCGGAAUUACUGGGCGUAAAGCGCACGCAGGCGGUCUGUCAAGUCGGAUGUGAAAUCCCCGGGCUCAACCUGGGAACUGCAUUCGAAACUGGCAGGCUGGAGUCUUGUAGAAGGGGGUAGAAUUCCAGGGGUAGCGGUGAAAUGCGUAGAGAUCUGGAGGAAUACCGGUGGCGAAGGCGGCCCCCUGGACAAAGACUGACGCUCAGGUGCGAAAGCGUGGGGAGCAAACAGGAUUAAUACCCUGGUAGUC